CUAAAUGGGGUUCUUUCGUCAACAAUUCCAUCCUAAAACUGAAUCUAUCUCUGUAAGACCAUUUACUAAGUUACUUCUUGGCUCUUUAUUUGUAUGAUUGAGUUAUCAAAUGGGCUUUUAAUUUCUUAUGGCCUGAUGUUUUUCAGUCCAUUUUUGUGACACAAGCACCUUAUGGAUUGCCAGGCAUAGAAUAGGUUCUCAAUAAACUCUUAUUGAGACUAGAUAUAUCAGUAGAUUAUUUUGAGUGAUUUUGUAAAUAACCUGGCCAACUAAGCAGAAAAAGGUAAAUGAUGAAAAAAGAGACAUAAUUUUCAGUGGGAUUCAGGCAAUCCAGUUGGUUUUAGAAUUGCACAAGAGAGAAGAGCUCUGAUGCAAUGUGCUGAUAUUGGAAUGUUUAGAGUUAUGGAGCUGCUAGCUGUGUUUCAGAGCUGUGUAACAGAGUAAGAAACAGCUUCCAAAUGAAAUAGAUAUGAAGGAGUACUAAAGAGUGACUUCCCAGCUUCUAGCUGACUGGCCUUUUUCAUUGGAAGUGGUGUUUCUGAUGUUUUUCCCCUCAGAAGAUGACUUCGUGGGAACUCUUUUGGUAGUGAAUGAUACCAGUAAAUCCCUGAAACAAGACUUUUCAGACAAAGAGCCUUUUCGCUUACCUGUUGUCCAAGGGCCAUCCUCUGAAGGUGACAACCUCAAAGGUGAGGUGGAUUUGUUACUGUGGAAGCCAUUACUUCUAUCACCAGCUUCACCAAAACAAUGAUACAGUCCUCCUUAUGCAUGGAGACUCCUCUCUUUCCUGUGUUGCAGUGGACACCUCCUGCAGAUAAGAAAUGCUUAACUGAGAAAUGCUCAUAUUGGGAUAUCAUCGAUGAGACUUUAAUUUGGGCAUGGUGACUGUUUCCCUUGCUGCCACUUGACUCAAUCCCAGGAGCCUCAAUAGAGGAAAUAUUAUUGCACAAGAAACUCAAAAUGAUGGAAUUGCUCAGUGCUCCCAUAAAUAUACAUUUAUGAUUUUCAUUUGCCAUGUGGUGAAUUUUAAAAAUAGGAUAUAUUAAAAAGAAAUUGCAUGAAUUUUUUCAAAAAUUCAAAGCAUAUCUAAAUAUCUAAUAUAUAAAUUAAGUGCCCUCCUCUCUCCCAAUUCUAUCCCCCAGAGUUUUUCUCUAUUAAAGUAGUUGUGUGCAUUCUUUAAGUGGAUAGAUGCACACACACACGUGCAAGCUAUUUUUGGGGGGUUCUGGAAGUGGGGCCAUAUUGUACAUAUUCUUCUGCAAAUUGCCUUUCAUUUAACAGUCUUUUCAGUGCACUUUUUCUAUUUAAGUAAUACACAUCUGUGUCAUUUGUUGAAUGACUGCAUGACUGUUUUGUAGGUCAAAUAUAAUUAAAUGUUUUAAGCAUUUCUCAUUCAUAGAUAUUUAUGUUAGCACCAAAUUUCUGUGCAGUGAACCUCCCUCUAUAUUAGUAAUUUUGCACUUGUCUAUUAUAUCAUAAUAAAUUACUUAACAGUUGAAAUACGGGGAUUAAGGAUAUGCACAUUUCAAAUUUUGAAAAUUAUUACAAGAUUUCCUUAAAAAUAUGGUAACAACUUAUCCUCAAAUGGCAAUGAAUAAGAUUGCCAGCUUUCCCACAGCCUCACAGAUAAUGGAUUUUAUAAAUAUUUAAAAUAUUUGCCAAUGUGAUAGCCCAAACUAUUGUCUUAAACUGUAUUUCUUUUGUUUUUGAGUUUGAUCAUUUUUUCAUAUGUUAUUAGCCAUCUGUAUUUUUUAAUUUCCUCUUUAUGUCUGAUUUUGGGCAUGGGGGGAGGUUUUAAUCUCUUCCUGAUUUUGAAGAGCUCAUUUAUUAUUGGGGGAAUAAGCUUUGGAUUGUCAAGCAUUACAGAUAUUUUUUACACACUUUUAAACUUCAUUUUUGGUAUAAGAAUGUGUAUGAUUGUUAUAUGUCUAAGUAUAACCAUGUUCGCUUCUAUGACUUCUAAGUUUCAUGUCAUUUUGGAAAGAUAUUUAUACUGAUUCCAUAAAACCCUUCACCUAUGUUAACUUCUAAUUCUUUUGUGUUUUUUUAAUUCAAAUUCUUAUAUCAUGAGAAAUUUUUUUGAUUUGAAAUCUUAAAGUUGCCAAGUUAUUUGCCAUGAGUUGCGAUUAUUUGCCAAUAAUUGCCCAUUUAUCUGUAAUGCCAUCUUGCACAUAUGCUGUAUUCUCAUCUGUGACUGGCUCCAUUUUUGUUCUGUGGAUCUUUGUGUCUCUUCUUCUGCCUCUUGUCUCAUGUGUCUUCUUGUUGGGAAGAAAUUACAGUUUAGACUGCAAUUUCAUCAACUUUAAUAAAUUAAUAUAGGAGAGAAUUGGUUUUUAAUAAUAUGUCUUCCUAUCCAAGGAUGAGGUAUGUCUUUCUUUUUAUUCAAUAAUUUUAAUUACUGUUAAUAUUUUCACUUUGUGAUGGGGGUAUUUUCUUUCACUUUAUUUUCUUACUUGAUAAUUUUUCUGUGUCUGCAAGUUUUGUUUUGUUUUUUGGGGUAAGUGGUCACUUUACCCUUUCUCAUGACUUUUCAGAUUUUUUAAAAGUACAUACUAAAUCCUUUGCAAAUACUGAUAGUUUUGAUUCUCCCCUCCCAAAUGAUCUGCAUUUUAGUUAUGUUGAUAAAAUUCACUGACUGGGACUUUCAGAGCACUUAAACGAUUGUGGAAAUAUUGUCCAUCCUUGAUUUAAUGAUAUUGUAAUGGAAUGCUUCUUGGGUUUGACCAGCACGUUGUUGUUGGUCUUUUACCCGAAAAGACUCCCAGAAAGAGCUAUGAUCAAGGAAAGCUGAGUUUAUUAAACCUACUGCAGCAAGGGAAAACACCACUUUGACAAGGUUUAGUAGUGUUUCAAAGCAGGAAAUUAGGACUUUGGGGUCUGGGCUAAUGUCGUUUGAAGAGGGCUUUUCAAGGCACGGAACUGGUUAGGAAUGGGCGGAAUUUGACAUGCAGUAGUUUAAGGUUUGUGAAAGAGUAAGGUAGGAACUUGAUGUGAGUCUAGAUAACCAAAUUUGUGUCUGAUACAUGAUCUGUUUGCCUAUGUGAGUUAGAUGUUAUCAAUGAUAGAAGAGCUAUUUGUCGAUGAGCAAACUGUGAAUUUACAUAUUUGUUUGCAGUUCUGUCUUGUUUAUAAGACACUGCUGGGGGUGGUAUCAGGUCUUAGUCCCAAUAGGUAAGUUAUUUUGAUGUGGGUGAUCUCAAUUAUCAAUGUAAUAUGCUAAUUUUAAAUUUGAGUUGAUUUUUGUAUCAUGUUAGGAAAGUCUCCCACUUUUUAUAUAAUAUUGCUAAAAAUUUUGAUCAAAAUAAGGUGGCAGAUGUAAUCAGAUUCUUUUUGCAUCAACGAUUGUAUUAUUCUUUAAUUAAACUUAUAUCAUUGUGAAAUAAUUCAUUUUCUAUUAAUGAAAUUUCCUUUUAUUCCUGGAAUGAACAAACCCCAUUUGGUAAAAACGUGUUUUACUCUUUAGAUUUACUACUGAAUUAUGAGUAUCUUAACUUGAUUUAGAAUUUUUGCAAGUAUGCUAUAUUGAAUGAAAUUGAUUUGUAAUUCUUUCUUGUUCUCUUUUUGUCAUAUUUUGAUAUCAGUUUUCUGGUUGUCCUCAAUAAUUUUGAGGAUUUUCCUCUUACUCUGUGCUCUAGAAUGGGUAGAAAAGCUCUAGUAUUAGUAUUAACAGUUAAGCAAACACAUCAAUGAAAUCAUCUGAACUCUUUUUUGGUUUUGGUGGCUUGGAGUAGAACUGAGGCUAACUAGAAAAUUUUCUCACUUUUUUUUUGUUAUUAUUGCUUGUUUUUUGUUUUAUAUCUUAUAUUUAACUUGUUUUCUCCUAGAAAAUCACAAUCCAAGCAGAUUUUCAAACAAAGUAGCAUGAAGUUACACAGAGUGUUCUUUAAUCACUCUAUUAAUUUCUCUGCUUUCAAUCAAUAUCCAUUUUCCUUCCAGUUUUGGUUGUUUAUGCUAUGCCUUUUUUAAUGAAGUAAGUUUGACAUGUGGGUUUCUAGCCUCACUAACUCUCCCUUCCCCUCUCUCCUAAUCAGCUCUUUGGUAUAAUUUAUCAGUGUUUUUAUUUUUUUUGAUUGUUCUUGUUUAUUCACAUGGUUUUUUUCUGAAUUUCUGUUUUUUUAAAUAAAUUCUUAAACAUGUGUAA
This is a long non-coding RNA of Diceros bicornis minor, 4141 nucleotides long. RefSeq lists it as uncharacterized. The transcript has 2 exons. The record is from RefSeq and is a predicted model, not a curated record. Lineage: Eukaryota; Metazoa; Chordata; Mammalia; Perissodactyla; Rhinocerotidae.